GUGAAUCAUCGAAUUUUUGAACGCAAAUUGCACUCUCCUCGGAGAGUAUGCCUGUUUGAGGUCCAGCCUAUAAAAAAUCGACAUCGCUUCUGUUUCGCGGUGGCGUUCGUCGGACAUUGGGUCAUCUUUAAUCUUUUGCUUUUAAGCGACUUAAAUUUUUCUUUUUGGUUCCAUGAACGUUUUUAAGAUUUAUUUCUUUACACGUUCACGGUAUCGAUUUUUAUUUGACGUCACCAUCAUAUCUGAUC
This 248-nucleotide unclassified non-coding RNA is filed under the name Glomus sp. RNAcentral's name for it is "partial contains 5.8S ribosomal RNA and internal transcribed spacer 2". The stretch from base 1 to 65 matches the Rfam family "5.8S ribosomal RNA", at positions 84 to 154 of the family's 154-position model. Lineage: Eukaryota; Fungi; Glomeromycota; Glomeromycetes; Glomerales; Glomeraceae. The record is from RNAcentral.